CUGGAAGCUUACUUCAUUUCAGAAGUUGGAUUUCACUGUAUCAGAUAUAUUGUCAGGGUUAACAGAAAACAAUAUGAUUGGGUGUGGAGGAUCAGGAAAAGUAUACCGUGUGNCUAUCAGGCCUUGUUGUUGCUGUGAAAAGAAUUUGCAAUGACAAGAAGUUAGACCAAAAGCUUGAGAAAGAGUUCCAUGCGGAAGUUCAGAUACUGGGUAGAAUAAGGCAUUUGAAUAUAGUGAAGCUGCUUUGCUGUAUUUGCAAUGACGAUUCAAAACUUCUUGUCUAUGAGUAUAUGGAGAAGCGAAGCCUGGAUCAAUGGCUGCAUGCGAAGAAGAGAUCAACAGGGGUGGACUUAGACUGGCCUAUGAGGUUCCGGAUUGCAGUGGGAGCCGCCCAGGGCCUUUCCUACCUGCACCGUGACUGCUCACCCCCCAUUAUUCAUCGAGAUGUCAAAUCAAGCAAUAUCCUGUUAGAUUCUGCUUUCAAUGCAAAAAUUGCUGAUUUUGG
Molecule: unclassified non-coding RNA, 505 nt
Filed under: Hevea brasiliensis (rubber tree)
Lineage: Eukaryota; Viridiplantae; Streptophyta; Magnoliopsida; Malpighiales; Euphorbiaceae
Source: RNAcentral